This 484-nucleotide ribosomal RNA is filed under the name uncultured bacterium. RNAcentral's name for it is "partial 16S ribosomal RNA". It matches the Rfam family "Bacterial small subunit ribosomal RNA", at positions 30 to 507 of the family's 1533-position model. The record is from RNAcentral.
AUUGAACGCUGGCGGCAGGCCUAACACAUGCAAGUCGAGCGGAGGAAGGGAGCUUGCUCCUGGAUUCAGCGGCGGACGGGUGAGUAAUGCCUAGGAAUCUGCCUGGUAGUGGGGGAUAACGUCCGGAAACGGGCGCUAAUACCGCAUACGUCCUGAGGGAGAAAGUGGGGGAUCUUCGGACCUCACGCUAUCAGAUGAGCCUAGGUCGGUUUAGCUAGUUGGUGGGGUAAAGGCCUACCAAGGCGACGAUCCGUAACUGGUCUGAGAGGAUGAUCAGUCACACUGGAACUGAGACACGGUCCAGACUCCUACGGGAGGCAGCAGUGGGGAAUAUUGGACAAUGGGCGAAAGCCUGAUCCAGCCAUGCCGCGUGUGUGAAGAAGGUCUUCGGAUUGUAAAGCACUUUAAGUUGGGAGGAAGGGCAGUAAGUUAAUACCUUGCUGUUUUGACGUUACCAACAGAAUAAGCACCGGCUAACUUCGUG